RNAcentral lists this transfer RNA (76 nucleotides) under Candidatus Campbellbacteria bacterium CG22_combo_CG10-13_8_21_14_all_36_13. Its description in RNAcentral is "tRNA-Phe". It matches the Rfam family "tRNA". From Rfam's summary of the family: Transfer RNA (tRNA) molecules are approximately 80 nucleotides in length. Their secondary structure includes four short double-helical elements and three loops (D, anti-codon, and T loops). Further hydrogen bonds mediate the characteristic L-shaped molecular structure. tRNAs have two regions of fundamental functional importance: the anti-codon, which is responsible for specific mRNA codon recognition, and the 3' end, to which the tRNAs corresponding amino acid is attached (by aminoacyl-tRNA synthetases). tRNAs cope with the degeneracy of the genetic code in two manners: having more than one tRNA (with a specific anti-codon) for a particular amino acid; and 'wobble' base-pairing, i.e. permitting non-standard base-pairing at the 3rd anti-codon position. RNAcentral also lists the same sequence under 1 other name. The record is from RNAcentral. Lineage: Bacteria; Candidatus Campbelliibacteriota.
GCCGAGGUAGCUCAGUUGGUAGAGCGCUUCCCUGAAGAGGAAGAUGUCACCAGUUCGACUCUGGUCCUCGGCACUA